GAUGAAGAACGUAGCAAAAUGCGAUAAGUAAUGUGAAUUGCAGAAUUCAGUGAAUCAUCGAAUCUUUGAACGCACAUUGCGCCUCCUGGUAUUCCGGGAGGCAUGCCUGUUCGAGCGUCAUUAAAAUCACUCAAGCUUAGGUUUACCUAUUGCUUGGUCUUGGAGAUGGAAGCCAAUUUAUUGGAAUCCUCUUCGAAAUUCAAUGGCGAAGACCCUUGCUCUCCCAAGUGUAGUAAUAACUUAUGUCACUGAAGGAAGCGAGAAAUCUUCUGCCGUAACCCCCAUAUUUUCUAUGAUUGACCUCGGAUCAGGUAGGGAUACCCGCUGAACUUAAGCAUAUCAAUAAGCGGAGGA
Molecule: unclassified non-coding RNA, 354 nt
Filed under: soil metagenome
Description: partial contains 5.8S ribosomal RNA, internal transcribed spacer 2, and large subunit ribosomal RNA
Rfam family: 5.8S ribosomal RNA (bases 1-120)
Source: RNAcentral